CUGGUGCAUCGAACUGCUAGCCUCACUUUCGAUCAAAUUUUGCUCCAUGAGCUAAUGGAUGCAAAAAGCGGGUUCCUGUGUUGCAUACCCUAUUGCGAUGGAAAUUUGUGCCUAUCGUUGUCCCUUUCAAUGCGGUAUCCGCUUUGGGUGCUCGGUUGGACUAGAUAGUGGGGCUWGUAUUCCGCGAACAUCUCAUUUUUGAUUUGUUCGGAUGGAUCGCGAGUGCUUACUUGUUCUCUCGGAUGCGGAACCUUCGUCAUGGGUGUAGGGGUCAUCGGCCCUUGUUCCUAAAUCUCAAGCGUUUAUCGCUUAUCGGAAUGACGCUCUUGCCUUGUCUUUGAUCGCGUGGAGCUCUUGAGCUUUCACGACGGAUUAUGCUUGGCGGACGUCGUGAAGGAAUGCUACCUGGUUG
This 412-nucleotide unclassified non-coding RNA is filed under the name Campomanesia guazumifolia. RNAcentral's name for it is "partial external transcribed spacer". The record is from RNAcentral. Lineage: Eukaryota; Viridiplantae; Streptophyta; Magnoliopsida; Myrtales; Myrtaceae.